GUGGCGCACGGCUGAGGAACACGUGGAACCCGCCCCCCGGUGGGGGAUAACGCGACGAAAGUCGCUAAUCCCGCAUACGUCCGCAGGGGGAAAGCGCUUCGGCGCGCCGGGGGAGGCGCCUGCGGCCCAUCAGGUCGUUGGUGGGGUAACGGCCUACCAAGCCGAUGGCGGGUAGCUGGUCUGGGAGGAUGACCAGCCAGACUGGGACUGAGACACGGCCCAGACUCCUACGGGAGGCAGCAGCAAGGAAUUUUCGGCAAUGGGGGCAAGCUGACCGAGCAACGCGCGUGCGGGAUGACGGCCUUCGGGUUGUAAACCGCUUUUCGGGGGGACGAUGAUGACGGUACCCCCGGAACAAGCCCCGGCUAACUCUGUGCCAGCAGCCGCGGUAAGACAGAGGGGGCGAGCGUUGUCCGGAGUCACUGGGCGUAAAGCGCGCGCAGGCGGUCGCCAAAGUGUCGUGUGAAAGCCCCCGGCUCAACCGGGGGAGGCCAUGGCAAACUCGGCGACUGGAGCGGCGGAGAGGCCCCUCGAAUUGCCGGUGUAGCGGUGAAAUGCGUAGAGAUCGGCAGGAAGACCAAGGGGGAAGCCAGGGGGCUGGCCGCUGGCUGACGCUGAGGCGCGACAGCGUGGGGAGCGAACCGGAUUAGAUACCCGGGUAGUCCACGCCGUAAACAAUGACCACUCGGCGUGCGGCGACUAUUGACGUCGCGGUGCGCCUUAGCUCACGCGCUAAGUGGUCCGCCUGGGAACUACGAGCGCAAGCUUAAAACUCAAAGGAAUCGACGGGGGCCCGCACAAGCAGCGGAGCGUGUGGUUUAAUUCGAGGCAACCCGAAGAACCUUACCCAGGCUUGACAUGACGGUGCAGACGCGGAAACGCGUCGCCUGCGAGGGUCCGU
Molecule: ribosomal RNA, 901 nt
Filed under: uncultured Chloroflexaceae bacterium
Lineage: Bacteria; Bacillati; Chloroflexota; Chloroflexia; Chloroflexales; Chloroflexaceae
Description: bacterial SSU rRNA
Rfam family: Bacterial small subunit ribosomal RNA
Source: RNAcentral